AACGAACGCUGGCGGCAUGCCUAACACAUGCAAGUCGAACGAGACCUUCGGGUCUAGUGGCGCACGGGUGCGUAACGCGUGGGAACCUGCCCUUAGGUUCGGAAUAACUCCCCGAAAGGGGUGCUAAUACCGGAUAAUGUCUUCGGACCAAAGAUCUAUCGCCUUUGGAUGGGCCCGCGUUGGAUUAGCUAGUUGGUAGGGUAAAAGCCUACCAAGGCGACGAUCCAUAGCUGGUCUGAGAGGAUGAUCAGCCACACUGGGACUGAGACACGGCCCAGACUCCUACGGGAGGCAGCAGUGGGGAAUAUUGGGCAAUGGGCGAAAGCCUGAUCCAGCAAUGCCGCGUGAGUGAUGAAGGCCUUAGGGUUGUAAAGCUCUUUUACCCGGGAUGAUAAUGACAGUACCGGGAGAAUAAGCUCCGGCUAACUCCGUG
This 433-nucleotide ribosomal RNA is filed under the name uncultured bacterium. RNAcentral describes it as "partial 16S ribosomal RNA". It matches the Rfam family "Bacterial small subunit ribosomal RNA", at positions 29 to 507 of the family's 1533-position model. The record is from RNAcentral.